This 465-nucleotide ribosomal RNA is filed under the name uncultured Klebsiella sp. Its description in RNAcentral is "bacterial SSU rRNA". It matches the Rfam family "Bacterial small subunit ribosomal RNA", at positions 338 to 795 of the family's 1533-position model. Lineage: Bacteria; Pseudomonadati; Pseudomonadota; Gammaproteobacteria; Enterobacterales; Enterobacteriaceae. The record is from RNAcentral.
CCUACGGGUGGCUGCAGUGGGGAAUAUUGCACAAUGGGCGCAAGCCUGAUGCAGCCAUGCCGCGUGUGUGAAGAAGGCCUUCGGGUUGUAAAGCACUUUCAGCGGGGAGGAAGGCGUUAAGGUUAAUAACCUUGGCGAUUGACGUUACCCGCAGAAGAAGCACCGGCUAACUCCGUGCCAGCAGCCGCGGUAAUACGGAGGGUGCAAGCGUUAAUCGGAAUUACUGGGCGUAAAGCGCACGCAGGCGGUCUGUCAAGUCGGAUGUGAAAUCCCCGGGCUCAACCUGGGAACUGCAUUCGAAACUGGCAGGCUAGAGUCUUGUAGAGGGGGGUAGAAUUCCAGGUGUAGCGGUGAAAUGCGUAGAGAUCUGGAGGAAUACCGGUGGUGAAGGCGGCCCCCUGGACAAAGACUGACGCUCAGGUGCGAAAGCGUGGGGAGCAAACAGGAUUAGAUACCCGGGUAGUC